This 1311-nucleotide ribosomal RNA is filed under the name Oxytauchira brachyptera. Its description in RNAcentral is "16S ribosomal RNA". The stretch from base 879 to 1232 matches the Rfam family "Archaeal large subunit ribosomal RNA", at positions 2155 to 2712 of the family's 2987-position model. The record is from RNAcentral. Lineage: Eukaryota; Metazoa; Arthropoda; Insecta; Orthoptera; Acrididae.
UGAGUUUCAUAUUAUAAUAAUUUCUUGUUUUUUUUAUUAUAAUAAAAAUAAUUUUGUUGUAUGUUUGUUUAAGUAUAUUUUAUAGAAUAAAUUAGUUUAAUUAUAGUUUAUUAGUAAUGUAAUUGACUUAUGAAAUAAUUUUUAAUUUUGGUUAAGUAGAUUUAUUUUAUUGUACCUUUUGUAUCAGGGUUUAUCAAAAUUUUAUAAAUCAUUUUAUAAUCUCGAUUUAGGUUGAUUUAUAAUAAAUUUAUUUUUAAUGUUUAAAAAUUAUUUUAAAAUUUAUUAUGGUAAUGAAAUGUUAUUCGUUUUCUAAGAUAUCUAGUUUCUUAAGAAAAAUUUUAAUUUUUUGUAGUUAAUUGUUUUUUUUUCUAUUUUUAGAUAAUUAAUAUUGGCUUAUUUAAUUUUUAAGGGAUAAGCUUUAAAAUUAAAAUCCUAUAAUUACUUAUACUAAGAUAUAAUAGUAAGCUUUAUACCAGCUAUUUUAGAUAAUUACGUUUUAGUUUAUUAUCUUUUAUUUUGAUUUUAUAGAUAUUUUAGGUUUCAUAUUAAGAUUAGUAAUUAAAUUUUAAAGUUUUUUUAAUAAUGAUUGAAUUAGUAUUAUUAUUAGUUUAUAAUAUAUUGUUUUAUAAUUUAUUAUAAGGAACUAGGCAAUUUAAAUUUCCGCCUGUUUAUCAAAAACAUGUCCUCUUGAAUAAUAUUAUGAGGUCUGGUCUGCUCACUGAUAAUUUAAAUAGCCGCGGUAUUUUGACCGUGCAAAGGUAGCAUAAUCAUUAGUCUUUUAAUUUAAGGCUGGAAUGAACGGCUUGACGAGAAAUUAACUGUCUCUUAAUAACUUAAAGAAUUUAACUUUUAAGUUAAAAGGCUUAGAUUUAUUUUUAGGACGAGAAGACCCUAUAGAUCUUUACAUUAAUAUUAUAUUAGGUUUUUAGUUAAUAUUUCCAUAUUUAUUAAUAAUGUUUUGUUGGGGUGACAUAUAAAAUCAAUAAACUUUUUAUUUUAAAAUCAUUGAUUUAUGUUUAUUUUGAUCCAUAAUUUAUGAUCAUGAGAUUAAGUUACCUUAGGGAUAACAGCGUAAUUAUUUUUGAGAGCUCAUAUCGACAAAGUAGAUUGCGACCUCGAUGUUGGAUUAAGAAUAAUUUUAGGUGUAGUAGUCUAAAAAUUAGGUCUGUUCGACCUUUAAAUUCUUACAUGAUCUGAGUUCAAACCGGCGUAAGCCAGGUUGGUUUUUAUCCUAAAUAUUAUAUAUUUUAUAUUAGUACGAAAGGACCAUAUAAUAAAAAUAUUUUUUAAGAUUAGAUUAAUAUUAAUUUA